GUGCCAGCAGCCGCGGUAAUACGUAUGGUGCAAGCGUUAUCCGGAUUUACUGGGUGUAAAGGGAGCGCAGGCGGCGCGCUAAGUCUGAUGUGAAAGCCCGGGGCUCAACCGCGGGACUGCAUUGAAAACUGGCGCGCUGGAGUGCCGGAGAGGUAAGCGGAAUUCCUAGUGUAGCGGUGAAAUUCGUAUAUAUUAGGAGGAACACCAGUGGCGAAGGCGGCUUACUGGACGGUGACUGACGCUGAGGCUCGAAAGCGUGGGGAGCAAACAGGAUUACAUACCCUGGUACUCCACGCUGUAAACAAUGAAUACCAGGUGUCGGGUGCCAGAGGCAUCCGGUGCCGCAGCAAACGCAGUAAGUAUUCCACCUGGGGAGUACGUUCGCAAGAAUGAAACUCAAAGGAAUUGACGGGCACCCGCACAAGGGGUGGAGCGUGUGGUUUAAUUCGAAGCAACGCGAAAAACCUUACCAUGCCUUGACAUCCCGGCGACGGAGCGUGUAAUGCUCUUUUCCUUCGGAACGGCGGAGACGGGUGGUGCAUGUUUUGUCCUCCCCUCCGUGUCGAGAGAUGGUUGGGGUUAAGUCCCCGCAACGAACCGCACCCCCUUGCCCCUUAUUACCCAGCCGCGGCAGAGGCGGGUCUCUCUAGGGGGGGACUGCCAAGGAAAAACCUGGAAGGAAGGGGGG
RNAcentral lists this ribosomal RNA (688 nucleotides) under uncultured bacterium. RNAcentral describes it as "bacterial SSU rRNA". It matches the Rfam family "Bacterial small subunit ribosomal RNA", at positions 505 to 1178 of the family's 1533-position model. The record is from RNAcentral.